GAUGAACGCUGGCGGCGUGCCUAAUACAUGCAAGUCGAGCGAACAGAUGAGGAGCUUGCUCCUCUGACGUUAGCGGCGGACGGGUGAGUAACACGUGGAUAACCUACCUAUAAGACUGGGAUAACUUCGGGAAACCGGAGCUAAUACCGGAUAAUAUAUUGAACCGCAUGGUUCAAUAGUGAAAGACGGUUUUGCUGUCACUUAUAGAUGGAUCCGCGCCGCAUUAGCUAGUUGGUAAGGUAACGGCUUACCAAGGCAACGAUGCGUAGCCGACCGGGGAGGGUGAUCGGCCACACUGGAACUGAGACACGGUCCAGACUCCUACGGGAGGCAGCAGUAGGGAAUCUUCCGCAAUGGGCGAAAGCCUGACGGAGCAACGCCGCGUGAGUGAUGAAGGUCUUCGGAUCGUAAAACUCUGUUAUUAGGGAAGAACAAAUGUGUAAGUAACUAUGCACGUCUUGACGGUACCUAAUCAGAAAGCCACGGCUAACUACGUG
This 497-nucleotide ribosomal RNA is filed under the name uncultured bacterium. Its description in RNAcentral is "partial 16S ribosomal RNA". It matches the Rfam family "Bacterial small subunit ribosomal RNA", at positions 28 to 507 of the family's 1533-position model. The record is from RNAcentral.